AUAGAGUAGCGAAGUCCGCGAUGUUCGGAGGCGAGAAAAGCUCUGAGGUAUGCUAAGGUGCCCGUACCGCAAACCGACACAGGUAGAUGAGGAGAAAAUCCUAAGGCCAACGGGAGAAGGGUUGUUAAGGAACUCGGCAAAUUGACCCCGUAACUUCGGAAGAAGGGGAGCCCCCUACGGGGGGUCGCAGAGAAAUGGCCCAAGCAACUGUUUACCAAAACACAGGUCUAUGCUAAAUCGAAAGAUGACGUAUAUGGGCUGACGCCUGCCCGGUGCCGGAAGGUUAAGAGGAGAUGUCAGGCAACGAAGCAUCGAAUUUAAGCCCCGGUAAACGGCGGCCGUAACAAUAACGGUCCUAAGGUAGCGAAAUUCCUUGUCAGGUAAGUUCUGACCCGCACGAAUGGCGUAAUGAUUUGGGCACUGUCUCAACAGCCCGCCCGGCGAAAUUGUAGUACUGGUGAAGAUGCCAGUUACCCGCAACUAGACGGAAAGACCCCAUGGAGCUUUACUGCAGCUUAAUACAGAAAUUCGGUAGUACGUGUACAGGAUAGGUGGGAGACUGAGAAAUACAGGCGUCAGCUUGUAUGGAGUCGCUGUUGGGAUACCACUCUUGUACUGCUGGGUUUCUAACCUGCGGCCGUGAAUCCGGUCGGGGGACACUGUUAGGCGGGCAGUUUGACUGGGGCGGUCGCCUCCCAAAAGGUAACGGAGGCGCUCAAAGGUUCGUUCAGCACGGACGGAAAUCGUGCAAUGAGUGUAAACGCAUAAACGAGCCUAACUGCGACACCGACGGGUGGAGCAGUAACGAAAGUUGGAGUUAGUGAUCCGGUGGUAUGUGAGUGGAAAUGCCAUCGCUCAACGGAUAAAAGCUACCCUGGGAUAACAGGCUGAUCUCCCCCAAGCGUCCACAGCGACGGGGAGGUUUGGCACCUCGAUGUCGGCUCGUCGCAUCCUGGGGCUGAAUUCGGUCCCAAGGGUUUGGCUGUUCGCCAAUUAAAGCGGCACGCGAGCUGGGUUCAGAACGUCGUGAGACAGUUCGGUCCCUAUCUGUUGCGGGCGUAAGAGAUUUGAAGGGAGCUGUCCUUAGUACGAGAGGACCGGGAUGGACGUACCUCUGGUGCACCAGUUGUCCUGCCAAGGGCAUAGCUGGGUAGCUAUGUACGGACGAGAUAAACGCUGAAAGCAUCUAAGCGUGAAACUCCCCCUAAGAUGAGAUCUCUCAUCCUUCAAGGAGUAAGGACCCAGAAAGACGAUCUGGUUGAUAGGCCGAAGGUGGAAGCGCAGUAAUGUGUGCAGCUGAUCGGUACUAAUAGUCCGAGGGCUUGAC
Molecule: ribosomal RNA, 1327 nt
Filed under: metagenome
Description: bacterial LSU rRNA
Rfam family: Bacterial large subunit ribosomal RNA
Source: RNAcentral